Molecule: non-coding RNA, 436 nt
Organism: Urocitellus parryii (Arctic ground squirrel)
Lineage: Eukaryota; Metazoa; Chordata; Mammalia; Rodentia; Sciuridae
Source: RefSeq, a predicted model, not a curated record
CGGUUGCCCCCUCCCCCUGUCGGGCGGGGCUCCACAGCGGCAUCGCGAUGACCCUCGGCCGCGCGAGGCUGGCGAGCUGGUAGCCGCCCCCGAGACAGUGUUCUUCUCGGGCAGGCGCCCGUCGGAGCACAUAGGUUGUCCCUGCCUCCGGCGCCCCGGCUCGCUUGCCCUCCUCGACCCUGCUGUCCUGGUGCUGCGGCUGYCCCAGGCGCAGGUGGCGUGGACGAGGGAGCCGGCCGCCUACUGCCCCGGCCGGGACUCGCCAGUCACCCUAGUGUGCAUAGAGCAAACCUUCUGAGCUGCUGGAAAGGAACAGAUUGUCUGGCCAAGCAGCUUGAGGACAGGGAACUUAUCCUCAGGAGAACAAAGGAAUCCGGAACUUUUGCCAAGGAAUGCAGGCCUCCAGAGAUAAGAAGCAGAGGCAUGUGGGGACAAG